AGCGAACGCUGGCGGCAGGCUUAACACAUGCAAGUCGAGCGGGCACUUUCGGGUGUCAGCGGCGGACGGGUGAGUAACGCGUGGGAACGUGCCCUCUGGUUCGGAAUAACUCAGGGGAACUUGAGCUAAUACCGGAUACGCCCUUUUGGGGAAAGGCUUGCUGCCGGAGGAUCGGCCCGCGUCUGAUUAGCUAGUUGGUGAGGUAACGGCUCACCAAGGCGACGAUCAGUAGCUGGUCUGAGAGGAUGAUCAGCCACACUGGGACUGAGACACGGCCCAGACUCCUACGGGAGGCAGCAGUGGGGAAUAUUGGACAAUGGGCGCAAGCCUGAUCCAGCCAUGCCGCGUGAGUGAUCAAGGCCUUAGGGUUGUAAAGCUCUUUUAUCCGGGACGAUAAUGACGGUACCGGAGGAAUAAGCCCCGGCUAACUUCGUG
RNAcentral lists this ribosomal RNA (435 nucleotides) under uncultured bacterium. RNAcentral's name for it is "partial 16S ribosomal RNA". It matches the Rfam family "Bacterial small subunit ribosomal RNA", at positions 29 to 507 of the family's 1533-position model. The record is from RNAcentral.